GGCGCUGUAGUCAAGUGGUGACUUCGUUUCCUGACAAAGGAGACGUUGGGGGUUCGAUUCCUCUGCAGCGACA
Coprinopsis cinerea okayama7#130 is the source of this 73-nucleotide non-coding RNA. NCBI's taxonomy places the organism in Eukaryota, Fungi, Basidiomycota, Agaricomycetes, Agaricales, Psathyrellaceae. The record is from the annotation of a RefSeq genome assembly.